CUCAGGACGAACGCUGGCGGCGUGCCUAAUACAUGCAAGUCGAGCGGAGUUUUGAAAAGCUUGCUUUUCAAAACUUAGCGGCGGACGGGUGAGUAACACGUGGGCAACCUGCCCUUGAGACGGGGAUAACUCCGGGAAACCGGAGCUAAUACCGGAUAACACAUAUCUUCGCAUGAGGAUAUGUUAGAAGGUGGCUUUUAGCUACCACUCAAGGAUGGGCCCGCGGCGCAUUAGCUAGUUGGUGAGGUAACGGCUCACCAAGGCGACGAUGCGUAGCCGACCUGAGAGGGUGAUCGGCCACACUGGGACUGAGACACGGCCCAGACUCCUACGGGAGGCAGCAGUAGGGAAUCUUCCGCAAUGGACGAAAGUCUGACGGAGCAACGCCGCGUGAGUGAUGAAGGUUUUCGGAUCGUAAAGCUCUGUUGUUAGGGAAGAACAAGUACCUGUUAAAUAAGCAGGUACCUUGACGGUACCUAACCAGAAAGCCACGGCUAACUACGUGCCAGCAGCCGCGGUAAUACGUAGGUGGCAAGCGUUGUCCGGAAUUAUUGGGCGUAAAGCGCGCGCAGGCGGUUCCUUAAGUCUGAUGUGAAAGCCCACGGCUCAACCGUGGAGGGUCAUUGGAAACU
Molecule: ribosomal RNA, 632 nt
Filed under: Priestia endophytica
Lineage: Bacteria; Bacillati; Bacillota; Bacilli; Caryophanales; Bacillaceae
Description: bacterial SSU rRNA
Rfam family: Bacterial small subunit ribosomal RNA
Source: RNAcentral